Molecule: unclassified non-coding RNA, 2335 nt
Filed under: Drosophila yakuba
Lineage: Eukaryota; Metazoa; Arthropoda; Insecta; Diptera; Drosophilidae
Description: GE13086
Source: RNAcentral
GUGGCUUCGCGCGUCCGCAAUUUUCAGUGUGUGGUGCGUUGUUGCUGCUGCCUACUCUUUUCUUUCUGCUCUCCACGGCAGCGGGAAAGGAAAAUACAUACACAUGCAUACAGGGCCCCAUCACAUACAGUAAAAAUAAAUUCAACUUUAUUGCUUUUCCCCCCGUCGCGUUAUCGUGUGUGUGUGUGUAUUAGUAUUAUAUAUAUUUUACCAUAUAUAUAUGGCUUGGAAAAGCAACACCAAAAUUUGAUAUGUGCAAGGUUUAUUGACGACUACGUGCUGCCUGUGAUUCUAUUUCGCAUAACUGCUGACACAUUAAACAAAUCUCCAAAAAGAACCAAAGGCGAAAGCUGAUUUUUUGUUUAGACACUUAAGUUUGAUUCAAUAUUCAUCAAAAUACGAGUGGCGAAAAAAAGCAAGUCAGAGAGAGCGCGCGACGUUCGGCCCCAAGGUCGUGGGCCCUUACCCCCAGGAUCCAUUUCCAAACACCCCAUCCAACCACCCAAGAAACCAAAAUGGAUGACGAUCAGCAGUUUUGUUUGCGGUGGAACAACCACCAGAGCACACUGAUCAGCGUGUUCGACACGUUGCUGGAGAACGAGACUCUAGUCGAUUGCACGCUAGCCGCCGAGGGCAAAUUUCUCAAGGCCCACAAGGUGGUGCUGUCAGCAUGCAGUCCCUACUUUGCUACCUUACUACAAGAACAGUACGACAAACAUCCCAUCUUUAUACUCAAGGAUGUCAAGUACCAAGAGCUGCGCGCCAUGAUGGACUACAUGUACCGCGGCGAGGUCAAUAUCUCGCAGGAUCAGCUGGCCGCUCUGCUCAAGGCCGCCGAGUCGCUGCAGAUCAAGGGCCUGUCGGACAAUCGCACUGGCGGCGGAGCAGCCCCCAAGCCUGAGUCCUCCGGCCAUCAUCGCGGCGGUAAGCUUAGCGGUGCCUACACACUGGAGCAGACGAAGCGGGCUCGACUUGCCACCGGCGGAGCGAUGGACACGUCUGGCGAUGUGUCCGGUUCACGCGAGGGCUCAUCGAGUCCGUCGCGUCGUCGUCGAAAAGUCCGACGUCGCAGCAUGGAGAAUGAUGCCCACGACAACUCCAACUCGUCCGUGUUACAAGCCGCCGCCUCGAAUCAGUCAAUCCUCCAGCAGACAGGAGCCGGUUUGGCCGUCUCCGCUUUGGUCAGCACCCAGUUGUCCAGCGGACCUGCAGCCGGAACCAGCAGCCAAGCGUCGUCGACCCAGCAACAGCAGCCAUUGACCAGCACCAACGUUACCAAAAAGACUGAAAGCGCUAAACUAACAUCCUCGACAGCCGCCCCAGCGAGCGGAGCAUCUGCGUCAGCGGCCGCCGUACAACAGGCCCAUCUGCAUCAGCACCAGCAGCAGGCGCAGACCACAAGCGAUGCCAUUAACACCGAUAAUGUACAAGCCCAGAGCCAAGGUGGCGCCCAAGGCGUCCAAGGCGAUGACGAGGACAUUGACGAGGGUAGUGCCGUUGGCGGAUCAAACGCCGCCAGCGGACCCAAUCCCGCCUCUGCAUCCGCCGUCCAUGCCGGAGUUGUGGUAAAGCAGCUGGCCAGCGUUGUGGACAAAUCGUCGUCGAAUCACAAACAUAAAAUCAAAGACAACAGCGUGUCAUCAGUGGGCUCCGAAAUGGUUAUUGAACCCAAAGCCGAAUACGAUGACGAUGCGCACGAUGAGAACGUUGAAGAUUUGACACUGGACGAGGAGGACAUGACAAUGGAAGAGCUGGACCAGACGGCCGGCACCAGCCAGGGUGGCGAAGGAUCUAGUCAAACAUAUGCAACAUGGCAGCACGACAGAUCUCAGGAUGAACUUGGACUAAUGGCACAGGAUGCACAGCAACGGGAUCCCCAAGAUGUCUCUACAAACAAAACUGUUGUACUACCCCACUACUUCAUCUACCAAUACUACUCCAAUAUCUACUACCUACUAUCACAUACUACUAUCUAUGAAGCCGACCGAACCGUAUUUUGUCCUGGAAAACUCGACUGUCUGCUGCAGCGCAACGAUCUGCAAGAAACAAACUCCAAGCAGCUAUGUAUCCAACUCAAGCCAAACUCCACCGCCAGUUGGGGGUUCAUCGGCCAGUUCGGCGCAAGCCCUGAUCCGCGACUACUGGUACGAGCUCAAGUUCUCCGAUCUGUUCAAGUUUAUAAAUCCUGACGGACGUUACCAGUGCCCGAGAUUCAAUUGCCUGAAGAGCUACAAGGACGCCAGCUCGCUGCAACGACAUAUCAGAUAUGAAUGUGGAGGACAGAAAAAAUUUCGCUGUCUGAUGUGCGGCAAAGCAUUUUCACAAAGCUCCCACC